Molecule: transfer RNA, 62 nt
Filed under: Metacrangonyx longipes
Lineage: Eukaryota; Metazoa; Arthropoda; Malacostraca; Amphipoda; Metacrangonyctidae
Description: transfer RNA Aspartic acid
Source: RNAcentral
GAAAAAUUAGUUAAAUAAAUAAUAUUAAUUUGUCAAAUUAGAGUUACUUUCUGUAUUUUUCU